RNAcentral lists this ribosomal RNA (274 nucleotides) under uncultured bacterium. RNAcentral's name for it is "partial 16S ribosomal RNA". It matches the Rfam family "Bacterial small subunit ribosomal RNA", at positions 523 to 796 of the family's 1533-position model. The record is from RNAcentral.
AUACGGAGGGUGCAAGCGUUAAUCGGAAUUACUGGGCGGAAAGCGCGCGUAGGCGGUUAGAUAAGUCGGAUGUGAAAUCCCUGGGCUCAACCUGGGAACUGCAUUCGAUACUGUCUAACUAGAGUAUGGUAGAGGGAAGUGGAAUUCCGGGUGUAGCGGUGAAAUGCGUAGAUAUCCGGAGGAACAUCAGUGGCGAAGGCGACUUCCUGGACCAAUACUGACGCUGAGGUGCGAAAGCGUGGGGAGCAAACAGGAUUAGAUACCCCAGUAGUCC